UACGUAGGUGACUAGCGUUGUCCGGAUUUACUGGGCGUAAAGAGCGCGCAGGCGGUCGUUCAAGUCGAGUGUGAAAGCCCCCGGCUCAACUGGGGAGGGUCAUUCGAUACUGCCUUUCUUGAGUGCCGGAGAGGAAAGCGGAAUUCCUGGUGUAGAGGUGAAAUUCGUAGAUAUCAGGAGGAACACCAGUGGCGAAGGCGGCUUUCUGGACGGUAACUGACGCUGAGACGCGAAAGCGUGGGGAGCAAACAGG
RNAcentral lists this ribosomal RNA (253 nucleotides) under uncultured bacterium. Its description in RNAcentral is "partial 16S ribosomal RNA". It matches the Rfam family "Bacterial small subunit ribosomal RNA", at positions 524 to 776 of the family's 1533-position model. The record is from RNAcentral.